RNAcentral lists this transfer RNA (74 nucleotides) under Palmaria decipiens. RNAcentral describes it as "tRNA-Gly". It matches the Rfam family "tRNA". From Rfam's summary of the family: Transfer RNA (tRNA) molecules are approximately 80 nucleotides in length. Lineage: Eukaryota; Rhodophyta; Florideophyceae; Palmariales; Palmariaceae. The record is from RNAcentral.
GCGGGUAUAGGUGAAUCGGUUACACCAUUAAUUUUCCACAUUGAAAGUUACCGGUUCGAAUCCGGUUACCCGUU